GGCGAGUGAAGCGGCAACAGCUCAAAUUUGAAAUCUGGCUCCGGGCGGGGUCCGAGUUGUAAUUUGGAGAAGAUGCUUCGGGCGUGGCGCCGGUCUAAGUUCCUUGGAACAGGACGCCGCAGAGGGUGAGAGCCCCGUAUGGGAUCGCGCGCCGACGCCCGUGUGAAGCUCUUUCGACGAGUCGAGUUGUUUGGGAAUGCAGCUCAAAAUGGGUGGUAAAUGCCAUCUAAAGCUAAAUACCGGCCAGAGACCGAUAGCGCACAAGUAGAGUGAUCGAAAGAUGAAAAGCACUUUGGAAAGAGAGUCAAACAGUACGUGAAAUUGUUGAAGGGGAAGCGCUUGCAACCAGACGUGGGCGCGGCCGAUCAUCCGGGGUUCUCUCCGGUGCACUCGGUCGCGCGCAGGCCAGCAUCGGUUCCGGUGGUCGGAGAAAGGUCGCGGGAACGUGGCUCCUCGCGGGGAGUGUUACAGCCCGCGACGACAUGCGACCCACCGGGAUCGAGGACCGCGCUCCGGCUAGGAUGCUGGCGUAAUGGUUGCAAGCGGCCCGUCUUGAAACACGGACCAAGGAGUCUAAUAUUUAUGCGAGUAUUUGGGUGUUCAAACCCGCGUGCGCAAUGAAAGUGAACGGAGGUGAGAACCCGCGAGGGCGCAUCACCGACCGAUCCUGAUGUCGUCGGAUGGAUUUGAGUAAGAGCAUAACUAUUGGGACCCGAAAGAGAGUGAACUUUACGUGAAUAGGGUGAAGCCAGAGGAAACUCUGGUGGAGGCUCGCAGCGGUUCUGACGUGCAAAUCGAUCGUCAAAUUUGCGUAAAGGGGCGAAAGACUAAUCGAACUUUCUAGUAGCUGGUUCCUGCCGAAGUUUCCCUCAGGAUAGCAGUGUUGUCUUCAGUUUUAUGAGGUAAAGCGAAUGAUUAGAGGCCUUGGGGUAGAAACUACCUUAACCUAUUCUCA
This 955-nucleotide ribosomal RNA is filed under the name [Encoelia] heteromera. RNAcentral's name for it is "eukaryotic LSU rRNA". It matches the Rfam family "Eukaryotic large subunit ribosomal RNA", at positions 88 to 1060 of the family's 3401-position model. The record is from RNAcentral. Lineage: Eukaryota; Fungi; Ascomycota; Leotiomycetes; Helotiales; Cordieritidaceae.